RNAcentral lists this ribosomal RNA (475 nucleotides) under uncultured bacterium. RNAcentral describes it as "bacterial SSU rRNA". It matches the Rfam family "Bacterial small subunit ribosomal RNA", at positions 335 to 799 of the family's 1533-position model. The record is from RNAcentral.
ACUCCUACGGGAGGCAGCAGUAGGGAAUCUUCCACAAUGGACGAAAGUCUGAUGGAGCAACGCCGCGUGAGUGAAGAAGGGUUUCGGCUCGUAAAACUCUGUUGUUAAAGAAGAACACGUAUGAGAGUAACUGUUCAUACGUUGACGGUAUUUAACCAGAAAGUCACGGCUAACUACGUGCCAGCAGCCGCGGUAAUACGUAGGUGGCAAGCGUUAUCCGGAUUUAUUGGGGCGUAAAGAGAGUGCAGGCGGUUUUCUAAGUCUGAUGUGAAAGCCUUCGGCUUAACCGGAGAAGUGCAUCGGAAACUGGAUAACUUGAGUGCAGAAGAGGGUAGUGGAACUCCAUGUGUAGCGGUGGAAUGCGUAGAUAUAUGGAAGAACACCAGUGGCGAAGGCGGCUACCUGGUCUGCAACUGACGCUGAGACUCGAAAGCAUGGGUAGCGAAACAGGAUUAGAUACCCUGGUAGGAUAGCG